Molecule: long non-coding RNA, 5864 nt
Organism: Lineus longissimus
Lineage: Eukaryota; Metazoa; Nemertea; Pilidiophora; Heteronemertea; Lineidae
Exons: 2
Source: RefSeq, a predicted model, not a curated record
GUGAAAGAUCAUUUUGGUGCCGGGUGAUUGCGUAAUUUCGAUUCAGAAAAAGGACUAACAAUAUCUUUAUGAGGAAUAUUUAGGAGAGCAAACAUAAUUAUUUUAGUUAAGCUGGAGGCUGGACUUGGGAUAUCAUUUAGACAUUUUGUCAUUAAUUACCCUGAAUUCAAGAAACGGAACUCAUUGCAGGCCACUUGAGGAAGAAACCGUCACAAUAUUUCAAAAAGGAUUCUAUUGAUGAUAAAAACUCAAGAUUUACAAAAAUAACGCAUAUGUACUUUAAAUCCUGUCAGAAGAAUCAGUGAACUCGUAAUAUUGAUAUUCAAAUCUGAUUUUAAACAAACCUUGCCAUCACCCGGUGCUAAAUUUUGUUGGAACGACUUGUAUCAAACAGAGAAAGAGCUGAGCGGGGAACAAUAUUUCCCAAAAAAUUUCUUGAGGAUAUUUUGGUGAAGGUAGACAAGAUGUACGCAUAUUUGGUUGUAUUCUUGGUUGUCUGCCUGAUAUGCCCUAACCUGGUGCUUGCUGAAGAGGGCGAUGAUGCGUACGCGGCCACGAAGCCAUUCGUACCCAUUCCGGCGGAAAUCCAGGGUUGGGCAACGAUGAACCCUACAUUCAAAGGUGCAGCACUGCUAGUUCCAAAUACCAAAUCAGAAGACUACGGGGGGAAAUGUCUCAAUCCUAAAGAUCCAGACAUGAAUGGAGUCGACUGUUUCCUUAAAUGCAAGCUACUUCAAGUCAAAUAUCAGAAGGAGGAAAUAGAGACCAGCUGCCAAGGGUUUAACUUCGGAGGCAAGGAUUUCAACUCUGCUGGAAAGUGCCAAUUGAUAGCGCCCUUCGUCGGUGAGAAAGAUGAAAUGGCACCGUUUCUUAUUAAAGGAAAAAAGGCUCAUGGAAUGAAAUUUUAUGAAAUGAAGUGUCCUGCUGAUGAGAAUGGCAAGCCUCAGAAGUGGUCCAGCGGGAUGUGCAUGUCAACGGAGGACUCUUAGACAGCAGAUACGGGAAGGCGUCUGGAAUGAAUGUGACACGUGACACGCCGCGGUGUCGCAUCGAGUUCAUGCUGUACGAAAGUACCAGCAAAUUGAUAUACAAACCGGGAUACAAUGUUCGCUUAUAUAUUCGUGAGUCCAGCUUCCAGUUGUUGUUGUUUUUUGUCGUUUUGACGGGCCCAGUGCUUUGCGAUCAUCCGAUAUUUCCUGCACCUCCGGGAUUUCAGCAUCUGAACGUCUUAUCAUCGAAGUAGAUAGAAAAGAUAGAAUUUAUAGUUGGAAUUUGAAAUCACGGGGAUGAAGAAAAGAAAAAGUAGUGCUUCGACAUACCAUACUCUAUUACCCACACUUAGUUUAAUUGUGAAGAGUUUUCUAUGUAACAACACGCCGGGAAGCAGUGUACAUGUCUGUACAUCGACUAAGCAUUCUUAUUCAAAUCUAUUUCGGGAGAACAUUUAUAACAGUUAGGAAAUGGGACUCAUCUUCAGUACCAGACAUUUGAUCAGAAUCAGGACUCUAACCGUAACGUGAUGGUCUUAUUGCCGGGAAAAAGAUGUGCUUUCAUAAUUAUUGUUGUCGAGUGACGUCCACCAUAAGAGAAUUGGCGGUUUUUGCUUCGGUUGUGCACGGAGAGAGAAAAGAAUAUAGUUUCUCGCUCACCUAAUUGUCCACAGCUUAUCUGGUGGAGCCGUUUUCGGUCCUGAUGCAUUGUUUUCUAUCUGCAAUACUUAUUUAAGUAAAACUGUAGAUCACGAAUGAAACAGAAAAUUGUGGCAAAAAAUAAUUGAAUAAUAUAUUUAAGUGAAAUUUCAUGAAAAAUCGGAAGCCACAUUUGGUGUCCCUGACCUCGAAUUUUGCUGCCAAACUAAAUUUAUAGUACGUUAUAUCUACAUGGACCUUUCUUUAGUUGCCUUUUUCACAAGCUUUGUUUUGCUUGUUUCAUUGCAAACGUUUAACAAAUAGGAAUUAAGAAUUAUUUUCCUAUUUAUUCUUGCUGUCCUAUCAAAUAAACGUCCCGAGUCCAACUCCAUAUGUCGCCGAGAUGACGACCAAGACAUUGUGAUGUUUAAACAGUAUCAAUUCCCAAAUUGAGAACAUCUUGUCCAAUUGAGAACUUGUUUAACUCCAAGUGCGUUUCAAUUUUGUUAUUCAUAUAAUUAUUACAUUUGUCCUCUUAUAAGUUGCACAUAUCAUAGUAUUGUAUAAGCCUAAAAGACCCUUGUCAGUUAUUGAUGACGUCCAACCAAUUAGAAAUUUGAUGACUUGCUUAGCCUCGCUGCAUCAACGCAAAUUCAAUUCCCAUUGAGAUCCCGAAAAAAGGUAGGGUUACAAAACGGUCAAAGUUAGUCAUGAUGUCAGGAAACCAUUUUGUUAUUCAAUUGUUUUUCUUGUAUGUUAGAAAGGAUUGAUAAAGUAGGCACCACGAAUCAAGAUUCUGAUUGCAUUAAGUUGUUAAAUUUAUUUCAAACAGUUUUUGCACAAAGAGUAAAAUCGUACCUUAAAUAAAACGAAGUACAUUUAGGUUAGAGUUUUUGCUAUAGUCGACCUAGGUAAAGUUGUGGCUCUCAGUCUUUUGUAAUAGUUAUCUUAAACUCUAAUCACGUACAUUCUCCUCAGGUGCAUCACACAGCCAUGUACAUCUCUGAUAUUGAAUCUUGUAAGUUUGCUACAAGUAACAAAAACAACUGUUAAAGGGAAGUGUUGAAAAUGUAGACCCGUGUAAAUCUUGUUUUCAACAACUUGAGAUAGUACAUGUCUCAUCUGAUCUGAUUUUCUACCGUUUCUAUUAAGAAAACAAAGGUAUAUUACAGUAAUGAUACAAUUAAGUGAUUAAAUUAAAUUUUGUAAGUAAUUAUAAUCCUAAUUGUGCUUUGAUAGCAUGCAAAGGUAAACUUCCAUUCACACAACAUCCAGUACAAACCACCAUAGAAGUAUUUCAAGACAUUUGUUUUAUGGUUCUUUCAAUGUCUUUCUAAAGACACCUACUAAACCCUAGAUGUUUACCAAAGAUGCCCUAGGAUAAAACUAGCUAUUAAAGCUCUGAAAUAAGCUUUCGACAUUCUCGAGACAAUGUGAAUGUCCCAGAUCAUUGUCAGUUAAAACCCUAGAUUUUGUAACUUAUUGCACAUAAUCAUGCGUUUAAUGCAUUAAGACAGCCGGUAUAUUAAUUACAUGUAUUAAAUGUUUUUGUCCACAGUAUUUCUUAACAAAGAUGACACGAAAGGAUACGGUAACGUACGUCUCAGGUCUCUGAUCAUAACAAAUAACACCUUUUGGGAACUGUUAUGCUAUACAAAUCAUUGCUUUAAAUUUCAGAUUAACACGAGUAUAUAGAUGUAUGCCCAAUCAAGGAGCUUGGCACAUUCGUAUGUCCACCGUAAACCUCCGAGUCUUAAUAUUUGCCAUAAGCGCCAGUUUUUGCAAGUAGGCCUACAUGUAAAUUUCUGAAAAAAUAAAAAUAAAAAAAUUUUCGCAGCGAUCUUUCUUUCGGAGAAUUACGACAUUUCGUUUGGUUUUUCCAAUCAAAGAAAUAUUUCGAAAUUUUUAUUUCUACGAGUACAAUUUAUUCGCGAAAUUCGCAAAAAAGAAAUAACCACAUAAAUUAGACGGUUUCCAAUACAUGAAUAUGUUGCUGGUAAAGAUUGUAAGUGAAGAACAAUUCUGACAGGCGAAUCAAAUAAAAUUUGAGUUUUUAAAAAAUUAAUUUUUUUUAUUACAGGAAGAAAACGGUUAUGUGUAGGCUACAAAUAAUUCAAUCCAUGUUAACUCAGCAAAUUAUAGCUAAAGAUAGGUAAUAUCAUUUACGUUGUAGUUAUUGUAGUAUUCUUUCUUCUUCUUUGAAUUUUUAUCAACACUGCUGGGUCAUGUCCAUUUUCAAUAUAAUGGUACAUUUGUUUUGAAAUUGUUUAUUGCAACUGAAUAGAUUGAAAUUAAUCAAUUCUAUGAACGGCACAUCCGACAUCGCAAGCAAAAGCAAAAUGUUCGGUUUGGGUGCAAUGAAGCAAAUAUAAAAAAACUGCGACACGAGCGUUCUCGCGAUCGCAGUCACUGGAAACAUGCCCAAUAGUCACGACGAUCUACACCACGAUGGGUAAAGGUAUUGGUUUACCUUUGCAACACAAUAGAAACAAGGCCUUCCCAUUACUGUGUUGGAGGGGUACAAUCCUAUAAAAUAAUAAAUGCGGGCCUACGCCCCUCAAAAUGAACUAAUCUUUGGUAGGUUAUAUUCUAUGUUUUCUUUCCAGGUUAGCACGUAGUUUUAUGAAAAAGGCAUUUACACGUCGACAGUGGAAAAUGGUUCAUUAUAAUGCAAUCUAUUCAGUAAUAUUCGGAGAAAUAGUUUACUAUUGAAAAUAGCGUUUUACAUUAAUAGCGUUUGCGCUACGUUUGUAUUUACAAUGUAUAGUUACAAUCUAUGAGGCUCUAAACGACGUUCUUUCAUUCGUUGUGAUACAUAGUAGUAUCAUACAUUUUCCAGUUUCGAUAUUUUAAAACGUUUCACCCGUACCGUAUUCAAAAUGGAUGUCAUUGUUGUCCUGCCAUGUACAGGUCCAAUUUUAUUGUUUAUUUCUUCAUCUUAGUAUAUAAUAUGUAGGUUCUCAUGGCGAUAUACAUAGAAGUUUGAAGUUCUUUCUCCUUGAGAACCGAUCAACUCCAAAAACGAUGUUAUCAAACUCGGCGCUCCCGAGUGAUAUGAUACAAAGGUAAUGUCAAUAAUCAAAAUGUUUUUCUGGUAUUUUUUUCCGACCAUCUAUCGACCCAUUAACAUGUAUACCUUUCUCAGUUUCAUCAUGUCGGUGUGCAAGGGAUAGUAGUCCUAGGGCUGAUAGUCCGUGUAACAAUAGCCCGCAUUGCUAAAUGUUUUGGUUAGGGUUAGCGGUACAAUAGAUCAUGCUGCUUAAUUGGUCAAAUGCAAUGCUACCGGACUAUGACUCCAGGGGGACUAUAUCCGCUGUCACACCGGGGAUAAUUGUAUUGUACAAUCUACAUGUCUUUGCUCAAAUAAUCUACACCCUUAUGCAUCGUAUACCUUUUGGUGAAUAUCUCUCUCUGCCCUCUCAUAGACAAGUCUCUAACAUUGCUUACAUGUAUAUAAUCUGCGUUUUAAACGGGCAUAUUCCGCUUAUAUCAUGGCAACAUCAGAUUCAUCAUAUCGUCAACUGACUCGAAUAUGCUUAUAAGUUAUGGGUAUAUUCGAGUCAGUUGAGGAUUUUUGAACUAAUGAUUGUUUUGAUUUCUCAUCUAUUAAAAGCAACUGUCGAAUAUAACACCAAGUAUGUGUUAUAAGUGCGAAAUGCCAGGACAAUUUAUCGCUCCAUUGAUUAAAAACAGACCCUUAUGCAUGUGAUCUUGAGCGAUACGUUUUUUGAUGUAAUAUACAGGUAACAAUUGUUUUGUUGAUUGUUAUAUAAUGUCACGUGGUACAAUUUUAGGCCCGGUGUAGAAGUUUAAAAUGUCCUGGGAUAGAAUGUCCGGGAAACAAUGGAUUAUAUUAUGCGCUUUAAUCUCUGAGCUAUUGGCGGUCAUGGCCUCUAUAGAACCAGAUAGCGGAAUACAAUAGGCCGGACACUUUUUCCAGGGGGACAUUUUCUUCUUUUACACCGGGACAAGAAUAAUUGUGGACAGUUGUACUGAGUCUACAAUGAAAAGUACCACAGCACCUUUCUUAUUUCUGCUCCGGACUCGACCGUAUCUUACAGGCAAGGCUCCAACUGAUUACACCCUCCACUGGAUAGCGCUUACAAUUUAAUUGUGAUAUAGAUAUUACAGACCAUGUUGUUGUAUGUAGAGUAUCAUAAUUGAGAAUAUAUAUUGAGUGCUUUAAGAAAUAUUGUCUAAUGUCCUUAUUGAGAAUAAAUUUAUCGCUCUAUAAAA